Acanthosepion pharaonis is the source of this 114-nucleotide non-coding RNA. Lineage: Eukaryota; Metazoa; Mollusca; Cephalopoda; Sepiida; Sepiidae. The record is from the annotation of a GenBank genome assembly.
UUACGGCCAUAUCAGGUUGAAACACCGGUUCUCGUACGAUCACCAAUGUUAAGCAACGUCGAACCUGGUCAAUAUUUAUAUGGGUGACUGCUUGCAAAUAUCAGAUACUGUAAG